RNAcentral lists this ribosomal RNA (482 nucleotides) under uncultured bacterium. RNAcentral describes it as "partial 16S ribosomal RNA". It matches the Rfam family "Bacterial small subunit ribosomal RNA", at positions 30 to 507 of the family's 1533-position model. The record is from RNAcentral.
AUUGAACGCUGGCGGCAUGCCUUACACAUGCAAGUCGAACGGUAACAGGUCUUCGGAUGCUGACGAGUGGCGAACGGGGGAGUAAUACAUCGGAACGUGCCCGAUCGUGGGGGAUAACGAGGCGAAAGCUUUGCUAAUACCGCAUACGAUCUACGGAUGAAAGCGGGGGAACUUCGGACCUCGCGCGGACGGAGCGGCCGAUGGCAGAUUAGGUAGUUGGUGGGAUAAAAGCUUACCAAGCCGACGAUCUGUAGCUGGUCUGAGAGGAUGAUCAGCCACACUGGGACUGAGACACGGCCCAGACUCCUACGGGAGGCAGCAGUGGGGAAUUUUGGACAAUGGGCGAAAGCCUGAUCCAGCCAUGCCGCGUGCAGGAUGAAGGCCUUCGGGUUGUAAACUGCUUUUGUACGGAACGAAAAGCCUCUUUCUAAUAAAGAGGGGUCAUGACGGUACCGUAAGAAUAAGCACCGGCUAACUACGUG